UUUUUAUAAGGAUAACUACGGAAAAGCUGUAGCUAAUACUUGACCGAUUGUUGUAUAAUUAUCCUCGGAUAAUUAUAUAACAUGUAUUUGUUAGCCUUAUAAGAAAAAAGUUAUUAAAUUAAGGAAUUAUAACAAAGAAGCAACACAUAAUAAACUUGUUUUAUUAAGUGUGUAUCAAUCGAGUUUCUGACCUAUCAGCUUUUGAUGUUAGGGUAUUGGCCUAACAUGGCUAUGACGGGUA
This 241-nucleotide ribosomal RNA is filed under the name Plasmodium relictum. RNAcentral describes it as "partial 18S small subunit ribosomal RNA". It matches the Rfam family "Eukaryotic small subunit ribosomal RNA", at positions 132 to 361 of the family's 1831-position model. The record is from RNAcentral. Lineage: Eukaryota; Apicomplexa; Aconoidasida; Haemosporida; Plasmodiidae.